RNAcentral lists this ribosomal RNA (1518 nucleotides) under uncultured bacterium. RNAcentral describes it as "bacterial SSU rRNA". It matches the Rfam family "Bacterial small subunit ribosomal RNA". The record is from RNAcentral.
AGAGUUUGAUCCUGGCUCAGAAUCAACGCUGGCGGCGUGCCUAACACAUGCAAGUCGCACGCGAAAGUGGAGCAAUCCAUGAGUAGAGUGGCAAACGGGUGAGUAACGCGUGGGCGACCUACCUUCGAGUGGGGGAUAACCUUCCGAAAGGAGGGCUAAUACCGCAUGACAUUCCGUGUUUGGAUACACGGGUAUCAAAGCCGGGGAUCGCAAGACCUGGCGCUUGGAGAGGGGCCCGCGUCCGAUUAGCUAGUUGGUGAGGUGACGGUUCACCAAGGCUUCGAUCGGUAUCCGGCCUGAGAGGGCGGACGGACACACUGGGACUGAGACACGGCCCAGACUCCUACGGGAGGCAGCAGUGGGGAAUUGUUCGCAAUGGGCGCAAGCCUGACGACGCAACGCCGCGUGGAGGAUGAAGACCUUCGGGUCGUAAACUCCUUUCGACCGGGAUGAAUUCUCAUCGACCGAACACGUCGAUGGGGUGACAGUACCGGGAGAAGAAGCCCCGGCUAACUCCGUGCCAGCAGCCGCGGUAAUACGGGGGGGGCAAGCGUUGUUCGGAAUUACUGGGCGUAAAGGGUUCGUAGGUGGCCCGCUAAGUCAGACGUGAAAUCCCUCAGCUCAACUGGGGAACUGCGUCUGAGACUGGCAGGCUUGAGUACAGGAGAGGAACGCGGAAUUCCAGGUGUAGCGGUGAAAUGCGUAGAUAUCUGGAGGAACACCGGUGGCGAAGGCGGCGUUCUGGACUGUUACUGACACUGAGGAACGAAAGCCAGGGGAGCAAACGGGAUUAGAUACCCCGGUAGUCCUGGCCCUAAACGAUGAAUGCUUGGUGUGGCGGGUAUCGAUCCCUGCCGUGCCGAAGUUAACGCGAUAAGCAUUCCGCCUGGGGAGUACGGUCGCAAGGCUGAAACUCAAAUGAAAUGACGGGGGCCCGCACAAGCGGUGGAGCAUGUGGUUUAAUUCGAAGCAACGCGAAGAACCUUACCUGGCCUUGACAUCUACAGAACUUUCCAGAGAUGGAUGGGUGCCUUCGGGAACUGUAAGACAGGUGCUGCAUGGCUGUCGUCAGCUCGUGUCGUGAGAUGUUGGGUUAAGUCCCGUAACGAGCGCAACCCUUGUCCUUAGUUACCAGCACGUUAUGGUGGGCACUCUAAGGAGACUGCCGGUGACAAACCGGAGGAAGGUGGGGAUGACGUCAAGUCAUCAUGGCCCUAUACGGCCAGGGCUACACACGUGCUACAAUGGUCGGUACAAAGGGUUGCCAAGCCGCGAGGUGGAGCUAAUCCCAUAAAACCGAUCGUAGUCCGGAUCGCAGUCUGCAACUCGACUGCGUGAAGUCGGAAUCGCUAGUAAUCGUGAAUCAGAAUGUCACGGUGAAUACGUUCCCGGGCCUUGUACACACCGCCCGUCACACCAUGGGAGUGGGUUGCACCAGAAGUAGCUAGUCUAACCUUCGGGGGGACGGUUACCACGGUGUGAUUCAUGACUGGGGUGAAGUCGUAACAAGGUAACCGU